This 542-nucleotide ribosomal RNA is filed under the name Russula amara. RNAcentral describes it as "mitochondrial SSU rRNA". It matches the Rfam family "Bacterial small subunit ribosomal RNA", at positions 359 to 952 of the family's 1533-position model. The record is from RNAcentral. Lineage: Eukaryota; Fungi; Basidiomycota; Agaricomycetes; Russulales; Russulaceae.
GAAUAUUAGUCAAUGCUCGAAAGAGUGAACUAGCUAACUGAAAUCAAUUAUAAUAAUUGAUAACAUAAGGGAAAAUAAUGAUAUUACCUUAUUAUUAGUGUCGUCCAAAUCUGGUGCCAGAAGACUCGGUAAGGCCAGAGACACAAACGUUAAUCGUCUUAAUCAGGCGUAAAGGGUUUGUAGGCAGCUUUAAAAUUUAUUUAUACAAAUAAUAAGUAAAGAAUAAAAGCUAGAAUCAAAUAGAGGAUAUAUGAAAGAAUGCUUAGAGUAGGUCUGAUAUCCUUAGAUACUAAGUAGAAUAUUAAAGGCGAAAGCUUUUUUCCAAUAAUGAUUGACGCUCAGAAACGAAGGUGAGGAUAGGAAAUAGGAUUAGAUACCCAGAAUACCCCUCUCUGUCAACGAUGAAUGGUAGUUAUUAGUAAAAUUUAUUAAUGACAAUGUUAACACGAUAACCAUUCCGCCUUGUGAGUACAACUGCAAAGUUGAAAACAAAAAAAUUAGUCGGUUUCGGAGCAAACGAAGUGAAGCAUGUUAUUUAAUUC